This is a non-coding RNA of Phoenix dactylifera (date palm), 105 nucleotides long. The record is from RefSeq and is a predicted model, not a curated record. Lineage: Eukaryota; Viridiplantae; Streptophyta; Magnoliopsida; Arecales; Arecaceae.
AUGCCUUUAAGAAUGAACAAGUCCCUAAUAUUAAAUUAUCAUUAGUAACACUCUUCAGCUACUCAAAUGAUGUGAUUUUAGCUGAUUGCUGUAAAUGGAACAUUU